GAUAAACGCUGGCGGCGUGCCUAAUACAUGCAAGUCGAGCGAACGGACGAGAAGCUUGCUUCUCUGAUGUUAGCGGCGGACGGGUGAGUAACACGUGGAUAACCUACCUAUAAGACUGGGAUAACUUCGGGAAACCGGAGCUAAUACCGGAUAAUAUUUUGAACCGCAUGGUUCAAAAGUGAAAGACGGUCUUGCUGUCACUUAUAGAUGGAUCCGCGCUGCAUUAGCUAGUUGGUAAGGUAACGGCUUACCAAGGCAACGAUGCAUAGCCGACCUGAGAGGGUGAUCGGCCACACUGGAACUGAGACACGGUCCAGACUCCUACGGGAGGCAGCAGUAGGGAAUCUUCCGCAAUGGGCGAAAGCCUGACGGAGCAACGCCGCGUGAGUGAUGAAGGUCUUCGGAUCGUAAAACUCUGUUAUUAGGGAAGAACAUAUGUGUAAGUAACUGUGCACAUCUUGACGGUACCUAAUCAGAAAGCCACGGCUAACUACGUGCCAGCAGCCGCGGUAAUACGUAGGUGGCAAGCGUUAUCCGGAAUUAUUGGGCGUAAAGCGCGCGUAGGCGGUUUUUUAAGUCUGAUGUGAAAGCCCACGGCUCAACCGUGGAGGGUCAUUGGAAACUGGAAAACUUGAGUGCAGAAGAGGAAAGUGGAAUUCCAUGUGUAGCGGUGAAAUGCGCAGAGAUAUGGAGGAACACCAGUGGCGAAGGCGACUUUCUGGUCUGUAACUGACGCUGAUGUGCGAAAGCGUGGGGAUCAAACAGGAUUAGAUACCCUGGUAGUCCACGCCGUAAACGAUGAGUGCUAAGUGUUAGGGGGUUUCCGCCCCUUAGUGCUGCAGCUAACGCAUUAAGCACUCCGCCUGGGGAGUACGACCGCAAGGUUGAAACUCAAAGGAAUUGACGGGGACCCGCACAAGCGGUGGAGCAUGUGGUUUAAUUCGAAGCAACGCGAAGAACCUUACCAAAUCUUGACAUCCUUUGACAACUCUAGAGAUAGAGCCUUCCCCUUCGGGGGACAAAGUGACAGGUGGUGCAUGGUUGUCGUCAGCUCGUGUCGUGAGAUGUUGGGUUAAGUCCCGCAACGAGCGCAACCCUUAAGCUUAGUUGCCAUCAUUAAGUUGGGCACUCUAAGCUGACUGCCGGUGACAAACCGGAGGAAGGUGGGGAUGACGUCAAAUCAUCAUGCCCCUUAUGAUUUGGGCUACACACGUGCUACAAUGGACAAUACAAAGGGCAGCGAAACCGCGAGGUCAAGCAAAUCCCAUAAAGUUGUUCUCAGUUCGGAUUGUAGUCUGCAACUCGACUACAUGAAGCUGGAAUCGCUAGUAAUCGUAGAUCAGCAUGCUGCGGUGAAUACGUUCCCGGGUCU
RNAcentral lists this ribosomal RNA (1372 nucleotides) under uncultured bacterium. Its description in RNAcentral is "bacterial SSU rRNA". It matches the Rfam family "Bacterial small subunit ribosomal RNA", at positions 28 to 1381 of the family's 1533-position model. The record is from RNAcentral.